Molecule: long non-coding RNA, 749 nt
Organism: Tupaia belangeri chinensis (Chinese tree shrew)
Lineage: Eukaryota; Metazoa; Chordata; Mammalia; Scandentia; Tupaiidae
Exons: 4
Source: RefSeq, a predicted model, not a curated record
UGGCCACUCUGUGAUCCCUUCUCUUCCAUUCUCCUCUUGGGAUCUUGGGCACGCAUGCGCACGCCGCGGCAUGCUUUACAAGCUGCCUGGUCCCGGAUUUCAUCAGUCCAGUCGGCCAUGCGGAUCCAGCUGCUUUAACCACCAGCACUGGCUGGCCCCGAAUUCCACAUGCUCUAGAAGCUCCGCGAGCUUUGGGCAAACUGGGAAGUGAUCAAGGACUGAAGUUUCCCGACCCUCCUUCCUGGUCUCUGCAGGGCUUCACUCUCCUUGCAGGGUCUGCAGCGUGUUGUUGAAACCUCUGCAAGGCUGUUUGCACACAUCCCUUUCCUGCAGCCAGCCGGGCACUGACGGACUCCCAGCCGGCGAUUGUUCAACGUGGAAGACGUGCUCCGGCAGCUCAGAGCCCAGGAAAGCGCCCUCUCCGCGCCCCGGCUCACCUGCCUCUGCAGAAGCUGCCUGCUUUGCUGUCCAUGGACUGAGGCUCUUCUCCACGCAGACCAUCGGCUGGGAGGUGUGAAAAGUCUGGAGUUCACCAGGAGCACCUUCAACACCCCUCACCAGAGCUUGGAGCUCUUGGGGAACAUCAUCAGUUGAAGUUUGAAAUCUGAACGAUAUACAUAGCUGUGAUGCAAACCUCGUUCUCUCAUGGAGACAUGAGCAUCCCAGAAAAUGCUGCUGCCUUCUCGGGAUAGACUGAACGCCAGCGUGAGCGAGAGGCUCCACGAUCCUCUCUGAAAUCGAUAAGGGCC